This 460-nucleotide ribosomal RNA is filed under the name uncultured bacterium. RNAcentral's name for it is "partial 16S ribosomal RNA". It matches the Rfam family "Bacterial small subunit ribosomal RNA", at positions 338 to 795 of the family's 1533-position model. The record is from RNAcentral.
CCUACGGGGGGCAGCAGUGAGGAAUAUUGGUCAAUGGACGAGAGUCUGAACCAGCCAAGUAGCGUGAAGGAUGACUGCCCUAUGGGUUGUAAACUUCUUUUAUAUGGGAAUAAAAUGUUCCACGUGUGGGAUUUUGUAUGUACCAUAUGAAUAAGGAUCGGCUAACUCCGUGCCAGCAGCCGCGGUAAUACUGAGGAUCCGAGCGUUAUCCGGAUUUAUUGGGUUUAAAGGGAGCGUAGGUGGAUUGUUAAGUCAGUUGUGAAAGUUUGCGACUCAACCGUAAAAUUGCAGUUGAAACUGGCAGUCUUGAGUACAGUAGAGGUGGGCGGAAUUCGUGGUGUAGCGGUGAAAUGCUUAGAUAUCACGAAGAACUCCGAUUGCGAAGGCAGUUCACUGAACUGCAACUGACACUGAGGCUCGAAAGUGUGGGUAUCAAACAGGAUUAGAUACCCCGGUAGUC